GUCUCAGUAGUGUAGUGGUUAACACACCAGCCUAGAAUAGGUGGGAGACGUGGUUUCGACUCCCGCCCGAGCCG
Molecule: transfer RNA, 74 nt
Filed under: Nippostrongylus brasiliensis
Lineage: Eukaryota; Metazoa; Nematoda; Chromadorea; Rhabditida; Heligmosomidae
Rfam family: tRNA
About the family: Transfer RNA (tRNA) molecules are approximately 80 nucleotides in length.
Source: Rfam by way of RNAcentral